Molecule: ribosomal RNA, 590 nt
Filed under: uncultured Vibrio sp.
Lineage: Bacteria; Pseudomonadati; Pseudomonadota; Gammaproteobacteria; Vibrionales; Vibrionaceae
Description: bacterial SSU rRNA
Rfam family: Bacterial small subunit ribosomal RNA
Source: RNAcentral
UCCUACGGGAGGCAGCAGUGGGGAAUAUUGCACAAUGGGCGCAAGCCUGAUGCAGCCAUGCCGCGUGUGUGAAGAAGGCCUUCGGGUUGUAAAGCACUUUCAGUCGUGAGGAAGGUAGUGUAGUUAAUAGCUGCAUUAUUUGACGUUAGCGACAGAAGAAGCACCGGCUAACUCCGUGCCAGCAGCCGCGGUAAUACGGAGGGUGCGAGCGUUAAUCGGAAUUACUGGGCGUAAAGCGCAUGCAGGUGGUUUGUUAAGUCAGAUGUGAAAGCCCGGGGCUCAACCUCGGAAUAGCAUUUGAAACUGGCAGACUAGAGUACUGUAGAGGGGGGUAGAAUUUCAGGUGUAGCGGUGAAAUGCGUAGAGAUCUGAAGGAAUACCGGUGGCGAAGGCGGCCCCCUGGACAGAUACUGACACUCAGAUGCGAAAGCGUGGGGAGCAAACAGGAUUAGAUACCCUGGUAGUCCACGCCGUAAACGAUGUCUACUUGGAGGUUGUGGCCUUGAGCCGUGGCUUUCGGAGCUAACGCGUUAAGUAGACCGCCUGGGGAGUACGGUCGCAAGAUUAAAACUCAAAUGAAUUGACGGGGG